UCGUGUCGUGAGAUGUUGGGUUAAGUCCCGCAACGAGCGCAACCCUUGUCAUUAAUUGCCAUCAUUUAGUUGGGCACUUUAAUGAGACUGCCGGUGACAAACCGGAGGAAGGUGGGGAUGACGUCAAGUCCUCAUGGCCCUUAUGGGUAGGGCUUCACACGUAAUACAAUGGCGCGUACAGAGGGUUGCCAACCCGCGAGGGGGAGCUAAUCUCAGAAAGCGCGUCGUAGUCCGGAUCGGAGUCUGCAACUCGACUCCGUGAAGUCGGAAUCGCUAGUAAUCGCGGAUCAGCAUGUCGCGGUGAAUACGUUCCCGGGUCUUGUACACACCUGCCC
RNAcentral lists this ribosomal RNA (335 nucleotides) under uncultured Nitrosomonas sp. RNAcentral's name for it is "bacterial SSU rRNA". It matches the Rfam family "Bacterial small subunit ribosomal RNA", at positions 1060 to 1396 of the family's 1533-position model. Lineage: Bacteria; Pseudomonadati; Pseudomonadota; Betaproteobacteria; Nitrosomonadales; Nitrosomonadaceae. The record is from RNAcentral.